CAGUUUGAUCCUGGCUCAGACCAACGCUCGCGGCGCGCUUAACACGUGCCAGUCUUGCGGUACCGAUGGCUAGUCCUUACCCACCAUCCCUCGGUACAGCGGCGGAGGGGUGAGUGACACGUGAGUAACUCUCCGAAGGAGGGGGAUAACGCCAGGAAACGGGUGCUAAUACCCCAGAUGCCUCGCAAGAGGUGAAAGUGUACUUGUUACAGCCUUAGGGUGCGCUCGCGGCCUAUCAGCUAGUUGGUGAGGUAACGGCUCACCAAGGCUAAGACGGGUAGCCGGCCUGAGAGGGUGUACGGCCACACUGGAAUUGAGAUACGGUCCAUACUCCUACGGGAGGCAGCACUGGGGAAUCUUGGGCAAUGGGCGAAAGCCUGACCCAGCGACGCCGCGUUGGGGAUGAAUCCAUUCAGGGCGUAAACCCAUGUUGUAAGGUACCAACAACGUGACGGUACCCUACAAGAAAGCCCCGGCCAGCUACGUGCCAUCCGCCUCGGUCAAACGUACGGUGCGAGCGUUGUCCGGAUUUACGGGGCGUAACGGGCUCGCAGGCGGUACGCCAAGUCGGAGGUGUAAAGUUACGGCUCAACCGUGACCUUGCAAUCGAGACUGACGUACUGAAGUGCACAAAAGGGAAGUUGAGUUCCAGGUGUAACGGUGAAAUGCGAAGAUUUGGUGGAGGAACGCCAGGGGCGAGGACGGCUUCGGGGGCCGGAACGGAUGGAUAGGGACGAUAGCAGGGGAAGCGAUCGGAAUAGAUUAGUAGGUAGUCUUGGCCGUAAGGGAUGGGUGGUAGGUGUAGGCAGGUUAGGGGUC
RNAcentral lists this ribosomal RNA (819 nucleotides) under uncultured Acetomicrobium sp. RNAcentral describes it as "bacterial SSU rRNA". It matches the Rfam family "Bacterial small subunit ribosomal RNA", at positions 9 to 837 of the family's 1533-position model. The record is from RNAcentral. Lineage: Bacteria; Thermotogati; Synergistota; Synergistia; Synergistales; Acetomicrobiaceae.